CCUACGGGAGGCUGCAGUGAGGAAUAUUGGUCAAUGGACGAGAGUCUGAACCAGCCAAGUAGCGUGAAGGAUGACUGCCCUAUGGGUUGUAAACUUCUUUUAUAAAGGAAUAAAACGAGGCACGUGUGCCUUUUUGCAUGUCCUUUAUGAAUAAGGAUCGGCUAACUCCGUGCCAGCAGCCGCGGUAAUACGGAGGAACCGAGCGUUAUCCGGAUUUAUUGGGUUUAAAGGGAGCGUAGAUGGGUUGUUAAGUCAGUUGUGAAAGUUUGCGGCUCAACCGUAAAAUUGCAAUUGAUACUGGCAGUCUUGAGUACAGUUGAGGUAAGCGGAAUUCGUGGUGUAGCGGUGAAAUGCUUAGAUAUCACGAAGAACCCCGAUUGCGAAGGCAGCUUACUAAACUGUGACUGACAUUGAUGCUCGAAAGUGUGGGGAUCAAACAGGAUUAGAUACCCGGGUAGUC
RNAcentral lists this ribosomal RNA (460 nucleotides) under uncultured bacterium. Its description in RNAcentral is "partial 16S ribosomal RNA". It matches the Rfam family "Bacterial small subunit ribosomal RNA", at positions 338 to 795 of the family's 1533-position model. The record is from RNAcentral.